RNAcentral lists this ribosomal RNA (484 nucleotides) under uncultured bacterium. RNAcentral's name for it is "partial 16S ribosomal RNA". It matches the Rfam family "Bacterial small subunit ribosomal RNA", at positions 30 to 507 of the family's 1533-position model. The record is from RNAcentral.
AUUGAACGCUGGCGGCAGGCCUAACACAUGCAAGUCGAGCGGAUGAAGGGAGCUUGCUCUUGGAUUCAGCGGCGGACGGGCGAGUAAUGCCUAGGAAUCUGCCUGGUCGUGGGGGAUAACGUCCGGAAACGGGCGCUAAUACCGCAUACGUCCUGAGGGAGAAAGAGGGGGAUCUUCGGACCUCACGCUAUUUGAUGAGCCUAGGUCGGAUUAGCUAGUUGGUGGGGUAAAGGCCUACCAAGGCGACGAUCCGUAACUGGUCUGAGAGGAUGAUCAGUCACACUGGAACUGAGACACGGUCCAGACUCCUACGGGAGGCAGCAGUGGGGAAUAUUGGACAAUGGGCGAAAGCCUGAUCCAGCCAUGCCGCGUGUGUGAAGAAGGUCUUCGGAUUGUAAAGCACUUUAAGUUGGGAGGAAGGGCAGUAAGUUAAUACCUUGCUGUUUUGACGGUACCAACAGAAUAAGCACCGGCUAACUUCGUG